GUCGAUAUUUCACAACCAAAUUUUCAAACUACAAGAACUACCAAAUAACAUGAUAAAACUUUAAAAUAUCAAGCAACACACAAGUAGCGCAUGAGUGCAUGACAUUUUUAGUCCCAUAAUUUUAACAAAGGUAAAGUUUUAGACGGACCAAAAUCUUAAAAUUCAAAUAACACUGCACUUGGCUUGAACCGAAAAAAGAAAGGAUUCAGGGAUAGUUAAGAACAACUUUCAGCUCAACUAGGUUUCCUUCGGUGGGGCCUUUUUGGCUGCUUCUGCAGCAGCUUUCUCUGCUUCGAUCUCAGCA
RNAcentral lists this unclassified non-coding RNA (304 nucleotides) under Hevea brasiliensis (rubber tree). The record is from RNAcentral. Lineage: Eukaryota; Viridiplantae; Streptophyta; Magnoliopsida; Malpighiales; Euphorbiaceae.